RNAcentral lists this ribosomal RNA (777 nucleotides) under uncultured bacterium. RNAcentral's name for it is "bacterial SSU rRNA". It matches the Rfam family "Bacterial small subunit ribosomal RNA", at positions 8 to 796 of the family's 1533-position model. The record is from RNAcentral.
AGAGUUUGAUCCUGGCUCAGGACGAACGCUGGCGGCGUGCUUAACACAUGCAAGUCGAACGGAAAUAUUGGAGUAUUUAUAUGAAGAUAUUUUAGUGGCGGACGGGUGAGUAACACGUGGGUAACCUGCCCUAUGGAGGGGGAUAACACAUAGAAAUGUGUGCUAAUACCGCAUAAUGUAGUACUAUCGCAUGGUGGAACUAUCAAAGAUUUAUUACCAUAGGAUGGACCCGCGGCCCAUUAGCUAGUUGGUGAGGUAACGGCUCACCAAGGCGACGAUGGGUAGCCGGACUGAGAGGUCGAACGGCCACAUUGGAACUGAGACACGGUCCAGACUCCUACGGGAGGCAGCAGUGGGGAAUAUUGCACAAUGGAGGAAACUCUGAUGCAGCAACGCCGCGUGAGUGACGAAGGCCUUCGGGUUGUAAAACUCUGUCUUAGCUGACGAUAAUGACGGUAAGCUAGGAGGAAGCCACGGCUAACUACGUGCCAGCAGCCGCGGUAAUACGUAGGUGGCGAGCGUUGUCCGGAAUUACUGGGCGUAAAGGGAGCGUAGGCGGUUUGUUAAGUCAGAUGUGUAAUCCCCGAGCUCAACUUGGGAACUGCAUCUGAGACUGGCAGGCUAGAGUACUGGAGAGGGUGGUGGAAUUCCUCGUGUAGCGGUGAAAUGCGUAGAGAUGAGGAGGAACACCAGUGGCGAAGGCGGCCACCUGGACAGUAACUGACGCUGAGGCGCGAAAGUGUGGGUAGCAAACAGGAUUAGAUACCCUGGUAGUCC